RNAcentral lists this ribosomal RNA (412 nucleotides) under uncultured bacterium. RNAcentral's name for it is "bacterial SSU rRNA". It matches the Rfam family "Bacterial small subunit ribosomal RNA", at positions 355 to 784 of the family's 1533-position model. The record is from RNAcentral.
UGGGGAAUCUUGGACAAUGGGGGCAACCCUGAUCCAGCCAUGCCGCGUGAGUGAUGAAGGCCUUAGGGUCGUAAAGCUCUUCGCCUGUGAAGAUAAUGACGGUAGCAGGUAAAGAAACCCCGGCUAACUCCGUGCCAGCAGCCGCGGUAAUACGGAGGGGGUUAGCGUUGUUCGGAAUUACUGGGCGUAAAGCGCACGUAGGCGGACCAGAAAGUUGGGGGUGAAAUCCCGGGGGCUCAACCCCGGAACUGCCUCCAAAACUAUUGGUCUAGAGUUCGAGAGAGGUGAGUGGAAUUCCAAGUGUAGAGGUGAAAUUCGUAGAUAUUUGGAGGAACACCAGUGGCGAAGGCGGCUCACUGGCUCGAUACUGACGCUGAGGUGCGAAAGUGUGGGGAGCAAACAGGAUUAGAUA